Molecule: ribosomal RNA, 253 nt
Filed under: uncultured archaeon
Lineage: Archaea
Description: partial 16S ribosomal RNA
Rfam family: Archaeal small subunit ribosomal RNA
Source: RNAcentral
AACCAGCACCUCAAGUGGUCAGGAUGAUUAUUGGGCCUAAAGCAUCCGUAGCUUGCUUUGUAAGUUCUCGGUUAAAUCCAUGCGCUUAACGUAUGGGCUGCCGGCAAUACUGCAAAGCUAGGGAGUGGGAGAGGUAGACGGUACUCGGUAGGAAGGGGUAAAAUCCUUUGAUCUAUUGAUGACCACCUGUGGCGAAGGCGGUCUACCAGAACACGUCCGACGGUGAGGGAUGAAAGCUGGGGGAGCAAACCGG